Molecule: long non-coding RNA, 282 nt
Filed under: Physcomitrium patens
Lineage: Eukaryota; Viridiplantae; Streptophyta; Bryopsida; Funariales; Funariaceae
Description: long non-coding RNA (PPAT_LNC011584)
Source: RNAcentral
UAGGUCUCUAGACGUUACAGAGAACCCCGAACAACCCAAUCUGCUAAUCUCCGAUACCGCUUUGUACUUACGAUCUUGAAUCCACUGACAGUCUUGUUAGAUUAAUCCAAUAAAUUUCAUUCACUCCGCAUACUCAAUCCUAUAGACACCUUUUUAAUCCUUCAAUCACAGACGUAACUCGAUUUCACAAAACAGUCAGAGUAAUCAAACCCACUUCAUUAAAAAUCCCGAUUCACCAUUACAACACUGACUUCAGCAACGAUUGCCUCAGUCUUUCCAAAA